GACGAACGCUGGCGGCGUGCCUAAUACAUGCAAGUAGAACGCACAGUUUAUACCGUAGCUUGCUACACCAUAGACUGUGAGUUGCGAACGGGUGAGUAACGCGUAGGUAACCUGCCUGGUAGCGGGGGAUAACUAUUGGAAACGAUAGCUAAUACCGCAUAAUAUUAAUUAUUGCAUGAUAAUUAAUUGAAAGUUGCAAUUGCACCACUACCAGAUGGACCUGCGUUGUAUUAGCUAGUAGGUGAGGUAACGGCUCACCUAGGCGACGAGACAUAGCCGACCUGAGAGGGAGGGCGGCCGCACUGGGAGUGAGACACGGCCCAGACUGCUACGGGAGGCAGCAGUAGGGAAUCUUCGGCGAUGGACGAAAGUCUGACCGAGCAACGCCGCGUGAGUGAAGAAGGUUGUCGGAUCGUAAAGGUAUGUUGUAAGAGAAGAACGGGUGUGAGAGUGGAAAGUUCACACUGUGACGGUAUCUUACCAGAAAGGGACGGCUAACUACGUG
This 505-nucleotide ribosomal RNA is filed under the name uncultured bacterium. RNAcentral describes it as "partial 16S ribosomal RNA". It matches the Rfam family "Bacterial small subunit ribosomal RNA", at positions 28 to 507 of the family's 1533-position model. The record is from RNAcentral.